This 505-nucleotide ribosomal RNA is filed under the name uncultured bacterium. RNAcentral's name for it is "partial 16S ribosomal RNA". It matches the Rfam family "Bacterial small subunit ribosomal RNA", at positions 28 to 507 of the family's 1533-position model. The record is from RNAcentral.
GACGAACGCUGGCGGCGUGCCUAAUACAUGCAAGUAGAACGCACAGUUUAUACCGUAGCUUGCUACGCCAUAGACUGUGAGUUGCGAACGGGUGAGUAACGCGUAGGUAACCUGCCUGGUAGCGGGGGAUAACUAUUGGAAACGAUAGCUAAUACCGCAUAAUAUUGAUUAUUGCAUGAUAAUUAAUUGAAAGGUGCAAUUGCACCACUACCAGAUGGACCUGCGUUGUAUUAGCUAGUAGGUGAGGUAACGGCUCACCUAGGCGAAGAUACAUAGCCGACCUGAGAGGGUGAUCGGCCACACUGGGACUGAGACACGGCCCAGAAUCCUACGGGAGGCAGCAGGAGGGAAUCUUCGGCAAUGGACGAAAGUCUGACCGAGCAACGCCGGGUGAGGGAAGAAGGUUUUCGGAUCGUAAAGCUCGGUUGUAAGAGAAGAACGGGUGUGAGAGUGGAAAGUUCACACUGUGACGGUAUCUUACCAGAAAGGGACGGCUAACUACGUG